Molecule: ribosomal RNA, 448 nt
Filed under: uncultured soil bacterium
Lineage: Bacteria
Description: partial 16S ribosomal RNA
Source: RNAcentral
GAAUUCGAUUCGGUGUGACAAGGCCCGGGAACGUAUUCACCGCGACAUUGCUGAUUCGCGAUUACUAGCGACUCCGACUUCACGGGGUCGGGUUGCAGACCCCGAUCCGAACUGAGACCGGCUUUCCGGGAUUCGCUCACCCUCACAGGCUCGCAGCCCUCUGUACCGGCCAUUGUAGCAUGUUUGCAGCCCAAGACAUAAGGGGCAUGAUGACUUGACGUCAUCCCCACCUUCCUCCGAGUUGACCCCGGCAGUCUCCCAUGAGUCCCCAACCUAAUGCUGGCAACAUGGGACAAGGGUUGCGCUCGUUGCGGGACUUAACCCAACAUCUCACGACACGAGCUGACGACAGCCAUGCACCACCUGUGACCGGCCCCGAAGGACCCCAUGUCUCCAUGAGUUUUCCGGCCAUGUCAAACCUUGGUAAGGUUCUUCGCGUUAAUCACUA